This 75-nucleotide transfer RNA is filed under the name Alicyclobacillus sp. RNAcentral's name for it is "tRNA-Arg". It matches the Rfam family "tRNA". From Rfam's summary of the family: Transfer RNA (tRNA) molecules are approximately 80 nucleotides in length. Their secondary structure includes four short double-helical elements and three loops (D, anti-codon, and T loops). Further hydrogen bonds mediate the characteristic L-shaped molecular structure. tRNAs have two regions of fundamental functional importance: the anti-codon, which is responsible for specific mRNA codon recognition, and the 3' end, to which the tRNAs corresponding amino acid is attached (by aminoacyl-tRNA synthetases). tRNAs cope with the degeneracy of the genetic code in two manners: having more than one tRNA (with a specific anti-codon) for a particular amino acid; and 'wobble' base-pairing, i.e. permitting non-standard base-pairing at the 3rd anti-codon position. The record is from RNAcentral. RNAcentral also lists the same sequence under 3 other names. Lineage: Bacteria; Bacillati; Bacillota; Bacilli; Caryophanales; Alicyclobacillaceae.
GCGCCUAUAGCUCAGUGGAUAGAGCGCCGGCCUCCGGAGCCGGGUGCCCAGGUUCGAGUCCUGGUAGGCGCGCCA